This 338-nucleotide unclassified non-coding RNA is filed under the name soil metagenome. Its description in RNAcentral is "partial contains 5.8S ribosomal RNA, internal transcribed spacer 2, and large subunit ribosomal RNA". The stretch from base 1 to 120 matches the Rfam family "5.8S ribosomal RNA", at positions 35 to 154 of the family's 154-position model. The record is from RNAcentral.
GAUGAAGAACGUAGUGAAAUGCGAUAAGUAGUGUGAAUUGCAGAAUUCAGUGAAUCAUCGAAUCUUUGAACGCACAUUGCGCCCCUUGGUAUUCCAUGGGGCAUGCCUGUUCGAGCGUCAUUUGUACCUUCAAGCUCUGCUUGGUGUUGGGUGUUUGUCUCGCCUCUGCGUGUAGACUCGCCUCAAAACAAUUGGCAGCCGGCGUAUUGAUUUCGGAGCGCAGUACAUCUCGCGCUUUGCACUCAUAACGACGACGUCCAAAAGUACAUUUUUACACUCUUGACCUCGGAUCAGGUAGGGAUACCCGCUGAACUUAAGCAUAUCAAUAAGCGGAGGAA